AUGUGUGUAUAUGUAUCUCGGGGAGACAAAACAUUGCCCUAACAUCGCCGUCUCUCGCUCCUCUCCGUUCAGCGCCCGGAUGCGGACCGGUGGCCGAUAUGGAUAUCACUGAGAUGAUGUAUGCACUCUGCUCUGACCAGGUUUAUGACAGAUGUGGCUUUGAAGGGCAUCUCUCUCUUUAUUCAUUUCAUCUGGUAUUGGUAAAAGCAUUGAAUUACUUCUAAGCCUUUCCACUUUGAAGCUGCCUGCUUUAGCUUUGUCGGACAAGGAAGGGUUUGGAUGUUGGGAAAGCUAGGAUUGAAGCAAGCGACUUUUAACGUGGUCGGUGGUCUUAAAGCUCCCAUGAUUUUAGGCAAUCUGAUUAAUUUAACACUUGUCAUUUCCAUCUCUCAACUACUUGGAAGUUGGGAGUUUGUUGUACACUUCCAAACUUCAUUAACCACUGCACUGUACCUUUGUUGAAAUAAGAUAAAGCUGAUAAGCCCCCGUCUUCCUGAUUUGUAAUUCACUAUGACCAUGAUAUUUCUUAAAAUAUAUAUAAGUAUUAAAAUAACAGGAUAGUAACAUUUUUUUUGUAGUCAGAGGUGUAAGAAGGAACUAGGUAGUGAUUAAUGUAACCUUUUUUUUUUUCUUUUUCUAAAACGCGAUUUGAUUGAUCGUUGUCCCUAUUAGGUUAAAAAAGGCUUGAAUGACUUUUCUGAAACGUGAUUUAGGUGACCCGUGUGCCUGUUAUGUUAAAACAAAGACUUGGAAAAGAUAUAACGAUAAAUUUAGUCUCAUCGGAAGAUGUAAUUGAAGUGAGGUAUCUUUCACAUAGUGUUUGGUAUGUAAUAGUUAAUAGUCCUUCAUUUGACACAUCCUUGAAUAGUAUAAAUUAAUAAAUUUUAAACCGACUCAUUUCUUGGAACCAAGCAACAACAAUAAAGCUCUUACUACAGAACAAAACUUUGAAAAGUCAUCAUUAAAUAUCUAAGAUCAUAUACAACUUGACAUGUACUUGCAAAUAAAAGAUAAAUAAAUAAUAAAAGUGAUACCAACAAGUAAGUACAUUAAAUAAAUACAGUUUUGGGAGGGGGCGGGGACAUUUAUAUAAACAUAAGUUAUCUAUUAUUCCUAGAAAAAGAACUAAAUACACCAAAAGAUCAAGAAAGUAUAUAAAAGAUAAAAAAGAAAUUGACUGGGGACAGCGGAGCCCUGAAUGGGCGCUGCCUUGAUGAUGGGAGAUGAGAUUUGGGACCCAGAUUGGGGACAAGGGUUGUGGCCUCCUUUGAUUGUGUCAAUUUGAUGAAUCUUUCAAAGUCGUGGUCAAGAUUUCUAGUGCCCAAAAGGCAAAAGGGUGGAUGGUCUGAUCUCUCUCUCUCACACACACACACACACUCUCUCUCUCCCCCCAAGAGGAGGAGGUUGAAUGGGGGUGGGGUCUGAUUGGUCAGUUAUCUUCGCCUAUAGUUAGGUCCAAAGAUGAGCCUCAACCUCACCUACUGCCAUUGCAUAUGAUAUGUACCCUUUAAUUGGACAAAUUAUUGCAGGCCACCCUACCCUUAUCUGCACACCCCCCUCAUCCUUCAAUGUUUUUGACAUCACCCCCUCCUACUUUUCAUUAUUUAACUUUUGAAAAGCAGAAGAAAUAAUAUUAUAUAUAUACACACCCCCUUCCCCAAUUAAUUAAUUGAUUGAUUAUAUAUAUAUAUAUAUAUAUAUAUAGCUAAGGGA
Long non-coding RNA from Diospyros lotus (date-plum), 1713 nucleotides. RefSeq lists it as uncharacterized. The record is from RefSeq and is a predicted model, not a curated record. Lineage: Eukaryota; Viridiplantae; Streptophyta; Magnoliopsida; Ericales; Ebenaceae. The transcript has 4 exons.